RNAcentral lists this long non-coding RNA (1185 nucleotides) under Homo sapiens (human). Its description in RNAcentral is "HSALNT0013378". The record is from RNAcentral. Lineage: Eukaryota; Metazoa; Chordata; Mammalia; Primates; Hominidae.
AAGGAUAAAUAGGAAUUCAUUCAUGAUGUGUAUUAGGGAAGGUUGGCAGGCAUUUUACUUAUGGGAAACAGCUUCUGCAGGGACAGGGAAGACUGGAGAAUGAAGGGUCCAGAGCUGUAAUCACUGAUAAUGUCCUUGCUGAGUUGCUAGAGUUCAAGAGCAGCUUUGGGAAGCAGGGUGCUCAUCUCAGAGAACAACGUGGGCAACUGUACACUGGCUGUUUUGCAGCCUCAAGCUAUGUCUUGUCUGCAUUCUUCCGAGUUCUGCUUCAUGCCAUUCUUUUCCUGGGCCCUUCUCUUUUCCUCAAACUCCCCUGCCUCUCUGGGUGCAAGUCACCACGCGACUUUCUCAGUCACACAACAAGGCCUGGAGAGGUGAGGUGCAGGGCAGGGAUCCCAGGAGGCAGUUGAUACUCAGGGGACAGGUUGGGACCUAUCUGUGGGUGGCAGGCCCCCAGUUGCGGGGACAGGCAGAGGGAAGGACAGGCAAGCAACCUCCUUGCUCACUGAUCACCAAGUGGAGCUUACAGCAGGGUUCUACCUGAGAGGGCACCUGCGGUAUCAGCAGGGUGGAGGGUGCCUGGUCAGAACCAGCAUAGGAACUGGGAUAGAGAAAACGGAGCAAACCGAGGUGGUGGGGUGAAGGCAUCGGUUCCAGACGCCUGGUCCUGGGGAGCAGCGGGGGGUUAGUGCAGAGUGAAGCUGGGAGCCCCAUGGUGGGGCUGAGCCCACUGCUAGCUGUUCUUCCUCUAGCAUAGUUGGCUGAGACCUUGGCGAGGCUGGAGCCUACAGGCAGGAGGGAAAACAAGCUCAGUGGCCUUGGGGAGGAGAGUGUCACUUUGGGUUCUGUUCUCAAAAAAAUGUCCAUGGCUUGGCAGGUGUGACAAGCCUAACAUUUCACAUUAAUACCCAAUACUGACGUGGAGCUUCCCAUGUGCCAGGCACUGUGCUGUGUUUGGAAACCUUGUCUCACUUAAUCUUCACACCAACCCUGUAGGAGGUGGUCAUCAUUCCCCACCAAAGGAGAAGCUAGGGCCUGGGCAUCUGUAAAGUGGGCUGGCCCUCCUGGGGCUGAGGAGCCACUGGAGCUGAGUCACAGAGGAUUUCCUUGGGAUUAAGAAUCCUCUGAAGUCCAUGGUACCUGGUUGUGGUGGAGGCAGUUGGCUCUUCCAGCCAGGCAUUAAUC